UCGCCCUCCGUCUCCUCUCCUCCCGCCCGCCCGCCCGCGCCGCCGCGAUCGCCAUGGCUCCCCUUCCCCCCUCCCGUCCACCGACGCCGACGACUCCGGCGGAGACGUACGCCCCGUCGUCGCGGAUAGACUCGCCGUCCCUGAAGGCCGCCCUCGCAAUGGCCCUCAUCCACUACAACCGCCUCCCCGGUAAAACCGCCACCGACGCCGCCGCCGCCGCCACCGCUGGCACAUCAUCCCCGCCUCUUCUCCACUGGAAGCGCAAGGCCAAGGACCGGAAGCGCGAGAUACUCCACCUCCGCGAGGAGCUCAAGCUCCUCCAUGAUGGGGUGCGUGGGGAGGAGAUGGAGCCGCCGGUCGCGUCGUGCCGGUGCCACUUCUUCGACGGGUGCGCGGACUUGCGGCCGCAGCCGGGUGGCGACGGUGGGGAGCACUGGGUCGACGAGGUUCUGAGGAGGAGGUUUCUCAGACUGGUGCGGUGGAAGGAGAAGCGACGGCGAGUGGAUCGACCUCUUCCAAGGAUUAGUUUGAUUGAUUUCAACAGUGAGGAUGAGAUGCAGCAGCUUAGCUUGUCAACUGAUUUCCUGGUGGAGCUUUCUGAUGGCAUUUCUGCCAAAAGAGAAGCUGGCUCCACAUUUGCUACAUUUUCUCACCAGGCAGUAGACUUCAUUUUGGCUUCAUUGAAGAACAUUCUAUCAUCAGAAAGGGAAAAGGAGCUAGUUGAGGAGAUAAUCGAUGGUUUAGUGACCCGUUUGAUGAAAAGGAUGUGCACCAUUCCUGAAAAUGAUGGAUCAGUUGACUGCUCAGAUGCCCAAUUCUCUGUGCAGCAUUUGUUCCGUAAGUUAGGAAAUGCAGAAUUCAUUGGUCAGCGGAUAAUACUUGCAGUUUCCCAAAAGAUCUCAAAUGUAUCAGAAAGAUUACUUCUGGUUGAUCCAUUUGAUGAUGCUUUCCCUGAUAUGCAUGGCAAUAUAUUCAUCAUGAUUCAGUUAAUCGAGUUCCUCAUCUCUGAUUACAUGAAAGAUUGGAUACACUGUGAGCAUUUUGACAAAAGACUUUCUGAAGAAUGUGCCAGAUCUAUUCUCAAGGCACGCAUGGAUUUGCAAGUCCUGGAGAACAUGAAUGGGCUGUAUGUAGUGUACAUUGAGCGAGUGGUCGGAAGGUUGGCAAGAGAAUUGGCUCCUGCUGUACAUCAGGGGAAGCUGGACCUAGAAGUCUUUUCGAAACUCUUGUGCUGAGAGUCCUCAACCUGACUUUUCAAUGUAUUUGCGGACAAGUCACUUGGCUGACAUUUUCUUAUGAACUACUUUAUGAUGCCUUGCUGCUAACACACUCCCAUCUCAGCUUCUGCAUGUCGAUUUCAGGGUGAUUAGCUACACAAAGGUGGUCCAGCAAGCAGGUAUUCUGUUCUCCAUUGAAUGACUGGAACCAAGGCGCAGUCAAAAUUGCUGUAGAGAUGGUUUACCUAUUAUGCGCAUUUAGCUGUAAAUUUGUGAGGACGUUCUAGAAUAUGUGAUAUCGUAUACAUGUUCUGAUAAGCUGAUCGAUGGAGACGAGUCAACGGGCCCCACCAGUCUGUCCGUUUGCCCCACCAGUACGACGGCAACGUCAUAUCAUGUGGCCGGGCGUCGAGAUAUCUGAGGCCAUGGCAUGAAGCCACAACAAUACAAGUUGGAAUGCAUUUGAUCUUGUGUGUAAGUGCUCGUGUCACCCACAACAAGAGAAAUUAGAGGGGAAAUGCAAAAUCAUAUGGGCUUAUACACAUACGGUUUAUCUCAGUCGCCCGUUUUUCUCAACUGAUA
RNA transcript from Phragmites australis (common reed), 1799 nucleotides. It is a transcript of the gene named protein MULTIPOLAR SPINDLE 1, with no coding region annotated. The record is from RefSeq and is a predicted model, not a curated record. Lineage: Eukaryota; Viridiplantae; Streptophyta; Magnoliopsida; Poales; Poaceae. The transcript is spliced from 12 exons.